RNAcentral lists this ribosomal RNA (2041 nucleotides) under Proteocephalus chamelensis. Its description in RNAcentral is "SSU rRNA". It matches the Rfam family "Eukaryotic small subunit ribosomal RNA". The record is from RNAcentral. Lineage: Eukaryota; Metazoa; Platyhelminthes; Cestoda; Proteocephalidea; Proteocephalidae.
CCAGUAGUCAUAUGCUUGUCUCAGAGAUUAAGCCAUGCAUGUCUCAGUGCACGCCUUUACACGGUGAAACCGCGAAUGGCUCAUUAAAUCAGCUAUGGUUUAUUGGAUCAUACCCGUUAAAUGGAUAACUGUAAUAACUCUAGAGCUAAUACAUGCCACUGAUGCCCUGACCCUUUUGGGAAUGGGUGCACUUAUUAGAUCAGAAGCCAACCGUGUAUGUCCGAAAGGAUGUGCACGUUGACCUUCUGGUGACUCUGGAUAAUUGUUACAGAUCGCAGUCGGCCUUGAGUCGGCGACGGGUCCUUCAAAUGUCUGCCCUAUCAACUUUCGAUGGUAGGUGACCUGCCUACCAUGGUGAUAACGGGUAACGGGGAAUCAGGGUUCGAUUCCGGAGAGGGAGCCUGAGAAACGGCUACCACUUCCAAGGGAGGCAGCAGGCGCGCAAAUUACCCACUCCCGGUACGGGGAGGUGGUGACGAAAAAUACCGAUGCGGGACUCUCAACGAGGCUCCGUAAUCGGAAUGAGUGAACUAUAAAUCCUUUCACGAGGAUCAAUUGGAGGGCAAGUCUGGUGCCAGCAGCCGCGGUAACUCCAGCUCCAAUAGCGUAUAUUAAAGUUGCUGCAGUUAAAAAGCUCGUAGUUGGAUCUCGGUACCACUGUUGCCCGUCAGUCCUUUGGUAGGUGGCUAUGUGCGCAUGGGCACGACCUGUGUUGUCAUGGCUGUUCUGUCAGAGUUGGCGGUGUGACGGUGUCGCCUUUAAGCCAUGUCUGUGGUGAAAUACCCUCAGGUGUAGGCGAGUGUCGGGUGGUGCCCAGCGUAAGUUGGGCCUGCCGGCUCGUCUGCAUGCCUUGGGAUGCCCUUCAAAAGGUGUCUGUGGGCGGAUGGCACGUUUACUUUGAACAAAUUUGAGUGCUCAAACCAGGCCGAUGUUGCCUGAAAAGUUUUGCAUGGAAUAAUGGAAUAGGACUUCGGUUCUAUUUCGUUGGUUUUCGGAUCCGAAGUAAUGAUCAAAAGAGACAGGCGGGGACGUUUGUAUGGCUGCGCUAGAGGUGAAAUUCAUGGACCGUAGCCAGACAAACUAAAGCGAAAGCAUUCGUCAAGCAUGUUUUCAUUGGCCAUGAGCGAAAGUCAGAGGCUCGAAGACGAUCAGAUACCGUCCUAGUUCUGACCAUAAACGAUGCCAACUGACGAUCCGUGGUGGUAGUUCAUCAACCUUCCCCACGGGCAGUCCCCGGGAAACCUUUAAGUCUUUGGGUUCCGGGGGAAGUAUGGUUGCAAAGCUGAAACUUAAAGGAAUUGACGGAAGGGCACCACCAGGAGUGGAGCCUGCGGCUUAAUUUGACUCAACACGGGAAAACUCACCCGGCCCGGACACUAUGAGGAUUGACAGAUUGAAAGCUCUUUCUUGAUUUGGUGGUAGGUGGUGCAUGGCCGUUCUUAGUUGGUGGAGCGAUUUGUCUGGUUAAUUCCGAUAACGAACGAGACUCCUGCCUGCUAAUUAGUGCACCUGUCAACUGUACUUGCGAAGGCGGUGCUAUGUGAGGCUGGUUUCCCCGUUUCUGAGCGGUGGUCUUGGCUGAUCUUGCACUAGCUUCCGGGUGCGGAGCGGGUGUCUACUUCUUAGAGGGACAAGCGGGAGAAGCCGCACGAAAUGGAGCAAUAACAGGUCUGUGAUGCCCUUAGAUGUCCGGGGCCGCACGCGCGCUACAAUGACGGUGGCAAUGAGUCUGACCUUCUGGCCCGAAAGGGUUGGGCAAACUGGUCAAUCACCGUCAUGACAGGGAUCGGGGCUUGGAAUUGGUUCCCCGUGAACGAGGAAUUCCUAGUAAGUGCAAGUCAUAAGCUUGCGCUGAUUACGUCCCUGCCCUUUGUACACACCGCCCGUCGCUACUACCGAUUGAAUGGUUUAGUAAGGUCCUUGGAUUGGCGCCAUUGUGGUGGCUUUCCGAAAGGCAAUCUACCCGACAGGUGCUGAGAAGACGACCAAACUUGAUCAUUUAGAGGAAGUAAAAGUCGUAACAAGGUUUCCGUAGGUGAAA